GGAGAGGGUAAGAGGAAUUGCUGUGGCCAGGCUGUGGUUUCAGGCAGUAUCUCAGCAUGUGCAUUUUUCUUUUUUUCUUUUUUUUCAGGUGCUGUACGCAGCCUCAGAGGGGCGAAGCCGUGUGCCGGUGACCGGUCUGAGAAGGCACCGUGCGGGCUGCCUUUGGAAUUGGACGUGCAGUUGUGGUGCCACAAGCGAUGAUGGCCGCAGCGUACGACUCUGGAACGAGCAGGUGA
Long non-coding RNA from Gymnogyps californianus (California condor), 236 nucleotides. RefSeq lists it as uncharacterized. Lineage: Eukaryota; Metazoa; Chordata; Aves; Accipitriformes; Cathartidae. The record is from RefSeq and is a predicted model, not a curated record. The transcript has 3 exons.